Molecule: small RNA, 28 nt
Filed under: Bombyx mori (domestic silkworm)
Lineage: Eukaryota; Metazoa; Arthropoda; Insecta; Lepidoptera; Bombycidae
Description: ovarian small RNA-6942
Source: RNAcentral
UCACUUCUCGUUUGGUCGGGGUCCGUGC